Molecule: non-coding RNA, 1921 nt
Organism: Ictidomys tridecemlineatus (thirteen-lined ground squirrel)
Lineage: Eukaryota; Metazoa; Chordata; Mammalia; Rodentia; Sciuridae
Source: RefSeq, a predicted model, not a curated record
GGGACCUUUGCCCACGUAGGCGUGCCCGGAAGUUCUCGUAACCCGGCCCCGCCCCUCCAUGCUUGGUUGGUUUGAGCAAAAAUGGCGGAUUCAGGAUGUAGGGUUUGCAAAGGAAGUUGGCUCCUAGCUAAGUUGCACUUCACAUUGUUCUUCAAAAUACUCUUGGCGUAUCAUGGUUUGCAUUUAAAAAAGAAAAAUAUACGGAAUGCUUGUCAAAAUGUGGUAAGGAUGACUAUUUAGGAUGUGAGCAUAAAUACAAGUGCACCGGUAUUUUGCAGUGGGGGAAAGUGGACUCAACUCAAAAUACAGCAUGUGUACAUUGGAUUUUAUAGUCCUUUUGAGUCUGUGGAUGGAUAGUUACUAAGAGGAAACAUCAGGGGUAAAUGGAAUUCUAUCUAAGACUUAACGAAUUCUUGCUGAAAGCAAGCCAGAGUGAUUAGAGGUUACCUGGAGGUAGGCUGAGGGAUAAGAAUCCUGAUCAUGUGUGGAGCGUGAUCAGAUAUGGAGGGGGAUUCUUGGUAAAUUUAGCAAGGUUUUUUGCUAAAACUAAAUGUCUAAGGAAUUGCACAGAUGGCCCUAGGAGAAAUUUCAAAAGUUUGAUUAAAAUUUGCCAAGCAGAAUCUGUAAAUAUCACCAAGGAAAUGCCAUAGUAAGCUUGGGGAGCCGGAUUUAUACUUGAGUGUGAGGCCACUUUUUUAAAAGUAUUUCUUUAAUUGUUGAUAGACCUUUGUUCUAUUUAUUUAUUUAGUUAUAUGUGGUGCUGAGAAUCAAACCUAGUGCCUCACACAUAUCAGUUACAGAUACCCCAUUGAAAACUUUUGCCUAACUUCAGUGAAAUUGGUAGGACCAGUGAAAAUGCCACUUGUGUGUCAGCCACAGCUAGACAGAAAGUUCUAGGUGUAUGCCAGGACCAAUGCUGAUGUCAGAUAACUGUGAAUCAUCAGAUAUUCAGACAAGAUCUAUGUCCUGGGACAUAGAAGUAACCAGGCAAGUUUCACAGAGGUAUUUAAAAUGACAAAAGAGUUUAACAAAAAGGAUAUUAGCCCUACAUAGUUUGUGGACUCAUUUCUAGGUACUGUGUCUGAGUUUCAUGUUUGAUAAUUUAAAAAUCACUACAUAAUAUCUUAAGCUGUAUAACCUACAUACACAAAAUACCUCUUGGUUACAGAGGCUCCCUUUUAUUCUAUAAUUAAAGAAAGAUCUUAAAUCUAUCUGACAGUUACUUUCACUUUAAUGCUUCUCUUAUUAUAGAACUUUUUUUGUAUUCCAAAUUUGGAUUAUAAUCUUUCUGAAAGUUAAUGCCUGAAAGUUCAUUGGACUCUGAAAUAUAGUUUUCCUCCUCUUAAGGAGACUUUAAUGAUUGGUCCUUCUAGAUAGCUUAAAUAUAUGAAUGUUGGAGUAUAGUGUUGAAUUUAAAAGGGAAAAGUAUCAACCAUCUUUCCUAGAGAACUAUCAAAUAAAGACAGUGUCUGAGAAGGCCAUGCUAUGACUUUCUGCAAGUAAUGGAAAAUUCAUGAAAGGAAAACAGAAAUGUGAUGUAUAAAUAGUUUUUUAAGUAUGUUGGAAAUGGGACGUAUGUAAGACCUACAACAGACUUUUUAAAAUGAUUCAUCCAAUAUUAAUUAUGCAUUGAGCUUUCAAUAAUGGACUAAUAUAGUCCAGAUCACUGUGAUAAUCAGUAUAUGAGCAACAUUAUGAGACUAACAUUGUCUCAGUAUAUAAUGAUAUAUGCAUUCUCAACUACUUGAAAAUUAUAUUAUGGACAAGUGUAUAAUCAGUCAGCUAGCUAAUGGCCAAAGAAAUUUUAGGGUUUUUUUUACCAUAUUUUUUUAUUUGUUUUAAUUAGUUACACAUGACAGUACAAUGACCUUGACAUAUCAUAUAUUUGAAUCAGAUGGGAUAUAAUUUCUCAUUUUUCUGA